AGUGAACGCUGGCGGUAGGCCUAACACAUGCAAGUCGAACGGCAACACAGUAAGAGCUUGCUCUUACGGGUGGCGAGUGGCGGGCGGGUGAGGAAUACGUCGGACUCUACUUUUUCGUGGGGGAUAUCGUAGGGACAGUUACGCUAAUACCGCAUCCGACCUACGGGUGAAAGCAGGGGAUCUUCGGCCCUUGCGCGAUUGAAUGAGCCGAUGUCGGAUUCGCUAGUUGGCGGGGUAAAGGCCCACCAAGGCGACGAUCCGUAGCUGGUCUGAGAGGAUGAUCAGCCACACUGGAACUGAGAAACGGUCCAGACUCCUACGGGAGGCAGCAGUGGGGAAUAUUGGACAAUGGGCGCAAGCCUGAUCCAGCCAUACCGCGUGGGUGAAGAAGGCCUUCGGGUUGUAAAGCCCUUUUGUUGGGAAAGAAAAGCAGCAGGUUAAUACCCCGCUGUUCUGACGGUACCCAAAGAAUAAGCACCGGCUAACUUCGUG
This 492-nucleotide ribosomal RNA is filed under the name uncultured bacterium. RNAcentral's name for it is "partial 16S ribosomal RNA". It matches the Rfam family "Bacterial small subunit ribosomal RNA", at positions 29 to 507 of the family's 1533-position model. The record is from RNAcentral.